GCAGUCGAACGGUGAACACGGAGCUUGCUCUGUGGGAUCAGUGGCGAACGGGUGAGUAACACGUGAGCAACCUGCCCCUGACUCUGGGAUAAGCGCUGGAAACGGCGUCUAAUACUGGAUACGAACCACGAAGGCAUCUUCAGUGGUUGGAAAGAUUUAUUGGUUGGGGAUGGGCUCGCGGCCUAUCAGCUUGUUGGUGAGGUAAUGGCUCACCAAGGCGUCGACGGGUAGCCGGCCUGAGAGGGUGACCGGCCACACUGGGACUGAGACACGGCCCAGACUCCUACGGGAGGCAGCAGUGGGGAAUAUUGCACAAUGGGCGCAAGCCUGAUGCAGCAACGCCGCGUGAGGGAUGACGGCCUUCGGGUUGUAAACCUCUUUUAGCAGGGAAGAAGCGAAAGUGACGGUACCUGCAGAAAAAGCGCCGGCUAACUACGUGCCAGCAGCCGCGGUAAUACGUAGGGCGCAAGCGUUAUCCGGAAUUAUUGGGCGUAAAGAGCUCGUAGGCGGUUUGUCGCGUCUGCUGUGAAAUCCGGAGGCUCAACCUCCGGCCUGCAGUGGGUACGGGCAGACUAGAGUGCGGUAGGGGAGAUUGGAAUUCCUGGUGUAGCGGUGGAAUGCGCAGAUAUCAGGAGGAACACCGAUGGCGAAGGCAGAUCUCUGGGCCGUAACUGACGCUGAGGAGCGAAAGGGUGGGGAGCAAACAGGCUUAGAUACCCUGGUAGUCCACCCCGUAAACGUUGGGAACUAGUUGUGGGGUCCAUUCCACGGAUUCCGUGACGCAGCUAACGCAUUAAGUUCCCCGCCUGGGGAGUACGGCCGCAAGGCUAAAACU
Molecule: ribosomal RNA, 835 nt
Filed under: Microbacterium sp. CA_27F
Lineage: Bacteria; Bacillati; Actinomycetota; Actinomycetes; Micrococcales; Microbacteriaceae
Description: bacterial SSU rRNA
Rfam family: Bacterial small subunit ribosomal RNA
Source: RNAcentral